AUAAUAGUCAUCAGAAGAGUAAUUCUUCCUUUCUUUUUUAGAGAGCUGGUAGUAGGUGUAAACCAGAAUGAAGGUGGAAUGAAUGGGCUGAGGAAAAUUGACGAGUAACGUGAACACAUAAACGUUAGGUUUGGCACCCCUUACCGUGCAACUUCUUUGUUGAGAAGUUUUAAGAUGAUAACUUUACAAAGAGUUAUCAACUGAGGUGGUACCGCGUAUCAAAAGUGAUUAACGCCCUCACG
Molecule: non-coding RNA, 242 nt
Filed under: Streptococcus thermophilus
Lineage: Bacteria; Bacillati; Bacillota; Bacilli; Lactobacillales; Streptococcaceae
Description: T-box
Rfam family: T-box leader
About the family: Uncharged tRNA acts as the effector for transcription antitermination of genes in the T-box leader family. T-boxes are found upstream of many aminoacyl-tRNA synthetase genes and some amino acid biosynthetic genes usually in Gram-positive bacteria. The anticodon of a specific tRNA base pairs to a specifier sequence within the T-box motif, and the NCCA acceptor tail of the tRNA base pairs to a conserved bulge in the T-box antiterminator hairpin.
Source: RNAcentral